GAUGAAGAACGUAGCGAAAUGCGAUAAGUAAUGUGAAUUGCAGAAUUCAGUGAAUCAUCGAAUCUUUGAACGCACAUUGCGCCCCUUGGUAUUCCGAGGGGCAUGCCUGUUCGAGCGUCAUUAUAACCCCUCAAGCUCAGCUUGGUGUUGGGGCCUGCUGCACUGGCAGCCCUUAAAAUCAGUGGCGGCGCCGUCUGGCUCUGAGCGUAGUAAUUCUUCUCGCUAUGGAGUCCUGGUGGAUGCUUGCCAUCAACCCCCAAUUUUUCUAUGGUUGACCUCGGAUCAGGUAGGGAUACCCGCUGAACUUAAGCAUAUCAAUAAGCGGAGGA
Molecule: unclassified non-coding RNA, 329 nt
Filed under: soil metagenome
Description: partial contains 5.8S ribosomal RNA, internal transcribed spacer 2, and large subunit ribosomal RNA
Rfam family: 5.8S ribosomal RNA (bases 1-120)
Source: RNAcentral